AACAGUAGAUUUUCACAUAUCUGUUGAUUUGAACUACUUUUCUUUUCAGACCGCAUGAUAUAAGAAGAGGCGUGACUCUAGCAUCAGAGAAUCUGUGUUUAAAUUCUGCUUCUGAUAUCUUUGUGAUCUUGGGCGGUCUGUUCUACCACAGACUUCUCAGAGGGCAGGCGAGAAUCAAGUAAAACUUCUUGGGGCAGG
This 198-nucleotide long non-coding RNA is filed under the name Sarcophilus harrisii (Tasmanian devil). Its description in RNAcentral is "lncRNA (ENSSHAG00000023830.1)". The record is from RNAcentral. Lineage: Eukaryota; Metazoa; Chordata; Mammalia; Dasyuromorphia; Dasyuridae.